RNAcentral lists this ribosomal RNA (482 nucleotides) under uncultured bacterium. RNAcentral describes it as "bacterial SSU rRNA". It matches the Rfam family "Bacterial small subunit ribosomal RNA", at positions 28 to 530 of the family's 1533-position model. The record is from RNAcentral.
GGUGAACGCUGGCGGCGUGCCUAACACAUGCAAGUCGAGCGGUGCAGUUUGAAGCUUCGGUGGAAAGCUGCAUAGCGGCGGACGGGUGAGGAAAACGUAGGAACGUGCCCCUUGGAGUUGGAUAGCCACGGGAAACUGUGGGUAAACCGACAUAGACUCGAGAGAGUAAAGGCCGAAAGGCGCCAAGGGAGCGGCCUGCGGCCCAUCAGGUAGUUGGUAGUGUAAAGGACUACCAAGCCGACGACGGGUAGCCGGUCUGAGAGGAUGGCCGGCCACAAGGGCACUGAGAGACGGGCCCUACUCCUACGGGAGGCAGCAGUGGGGGAUUUUGGACAAUGGGCGAAAGCCUGAUCCAGCGACGCCGCGUGGAGGACGAAGCCCUUCGGGGUGUAAACGUCCUUUUCUCAGGGAAAAAGACUGAUGGUACCUGAGGAAUAAGCCCCGGCUAACUACGUGCCAGCAGCCGCGGUAAAGUCACGUCG